RNAcentral lists this ribosomal RNA (253 nucleotides) under uncultured bacterium. RNAcentral's name for it is "partial 16S ribosomal RNA". It matches the Rfam family "Bacterial small subunit ribosomal RNA", at positions 524 to 776 of the family's 1533-position model. The record is from RNAcentral.
UACAGAGGGUGCAAGCGUUAAUCGGAAUUACUGGGCGUAAAGCGCGCGUAGGUGGUUCUAUAAGUUGGAUGUGAAAUCCCCGGGCUUAACCUGGGAAGGUCAUCCAGUACUGUAGGACUAGAGUACAGUAGAGGGAAGUGGAAUUUCCGGUGUAGCGGUGAAAUGCGUAGAUAUCGGAAGGAACACCAGUGGCGAAGGCGGCUUCCUGGCCUGAUACUGACACUGAGGGGCGAAAGCGUGGGGAGCAAACAGG